AGCCCCGUGGUGUAGAACACAUCGGAUUGCAAAUCCGGGGACGCGGAUUAACACCCGCCGGGGCUU
Molecule: transfer RNA, 66 nt
Filed under: Osteobrama feae
Lineage: Eukaryota; Metazoa; Chordata; Actinopteri; Cypriniformes; Cyprinidae
Description: tRNA-Cys
Rfam family: tRNA
About the family: Transfer RNA (tRNA) molecules are approximately 80 nucleotides in length. Their secondary structure includes four short double-helical elements and three loops (D, anti-codon, and T loops).
Source: RNAcentral